Molecule: ribosomal RNA, 489 nt
Filed under: uncultured bacterium
Lineage: Bacteria
Description: partial 16S ribosomal RNA
Rfam family: Bacterial small subunit ribosomal RNA
Source: RNAcentral
GAUGAACGCUAGCGGCAGGCUUAAUACAUGCAAGUCGUGGGGCAGCAGGACUGUAGCAAUACAGUUGCUGGCGACCGGCACACGGGUGCGGAACACGUACGCAACUUACCCUUAACUGGGGGAUAGCCCGGGGAAACCCGGAUCAAUACCCCGUAAUAUACUGGAGUGGCAUCACUUUAUUCUUAAAGCUCCGGCGGUUCGGGAUGGGCGUUCGGCUGAUUAGGUAGUUGGUUGAGGUAACGGCUCACCAAGCCUACGAUCAGUAACUGGUGUGAGAGCACGACAAGUUACACGGGAACUAAGACCCGGGCCCGACUCCUACGGGAGGCAGCAGUAAGGAAUAUUAGGGAAUGGAGGCAAAUCUGGCCCAGCCAUGCCGCGUGGAGAAUGAAGGCCCUCGGGGUUGUAAACUUCUUUUAAAGGAGACGAAACCUGUGUAUUCUUACGCAGUUGACGGUACCCUAGGAAUAAGCACCGGCUAACUCCGUG